GGUGCAAAGCUUCCUCGUUCCUCCUCCUCCAUUGCGAGCAAGGUUGAAGAAGAAGGAGUUCUUCUUCAAAAAAGUAUGUUGCUGAUCUUCUUCUAAUCAUUAUUGAUAAUCAUGAGAGGUCUCUGCAAGGAGCUAGCACUCCGGUGAGAUCUGAUCUCAGAUAGUCGAGUUCUCGUGUGGAUAUCUGUAGAGGGCGGAUACUUGUGCGGCUCCAAUAGGAACCUCCAAAAAUCAUCAGGCUGCGGUGUUUUUCCAUCCGCACAAAGUUUGAAGAUGGGAUCUUCAAACCUUUGUUUCUAAUUUUUGUUUCAGUUUUGUGAUAUUUAAUCAACCUCCUUCGAUCCUAAUCUUUCCUCCCUCA
Molecule: long non-coding RNA, 361 nt
Filed under: Phoenix dactylifera (date palm)
Lineage: Eukaryota; Viridiplantae; Streptophyta; Magnoliopsida; Arecales; Arecaceae
Description: long non-coding RNA (PDAC_LNC000645)
Source: RNAcentral